GAUCCUGGCUCAGGAUGAACGCUGGCGGCAGGCUUAAUACAUGCAAGUUGAACGGUAACAUGUUGUAGCAAUACGAUGAUGACGAGUGGCGCACGGGUGCGUAACACGUGUGUAACCUACCUUAUACAGGAACAUAACGUUGAGAAAUCGGCGCUAACAUUCCAUAAUAUUAUUUGUAGGCAUCUAUGAAUAAUUAAAACCCCGGUGGUAUAAGAUGGGCACGCGUUCCAUUAGCUAGUUGGUAAGGUAACGGCUUACCAAGGCAACGAUGGAUAGGGGUUCUGAGAGGAUAAUCCCCCACACUGGAACUGAGACACGGUCCAGACUCCUACGGGAGGCAGCAGUAAGGAAUAUUGGGCAAUGGAGGCAACUCUGACCCAGCCAUGCCGCGUGCAGGAAGACGGCCCUAUGGGUUGUAAACUGCUUUUAAUAGGGAUUAAAGUCGACUACGUGUAGUUGUUUGCAAGUACCUAUAGAAUAAGCAUCGGCUAACUCCGUGCCAGCAGCAGC
Molecule: ribosomal RNA, 510 nt
Filed under: uncultured bacterium
Lineage: Bacteria
Description: bacterial SSU rRNA
Rfam family: Bacterial small subunit ribosomal RNA
Source: RNAcentral